CUACGGGUGGCUGCAGUGAGGAAUAUUGCGCAAUGGACGAAAGUCUGACGCAGCCAUGCCGCGUGCAGGAUGACGGCGCUAUGCGUUGUAAACUGCUUUUAUAUGCCAAGAAACCUUCGGACGUGUCCGAAGCUGACGGUAGCAUAUGAAUAAGCACCGGCUAACUCCGUGCCAGCAGCCGCGGUAAUACGGAGGGUGCAAGCGUUGUCCGGAUUCACUGGGUGGUAAAGGGCGCGCAGGCGGGUUAGCAAGUCAGAGGUGAAAUCCUACAGCUUAACUGUAGAACUGCCUUUGAGACUGCUAAUCUUGAGUACGGAAGAGAGAGAUGGAAUUCCAGGUGUAGUGGUGAAAUACGUAGAUAUCUGGAAGAACACCAGUGGCGAAGGCGGUCUCUUGGUCCAUUACUGACGCUAAGGCGCGAAAGCGUGGGGAGCAAACAGGAUUAGAUACCCGAGUAGUC
This 460-nucleotide ribosomal RNA is filed under the name uncultured bacterium. RNAcentral describes it as "partial 16S ribosomal RNA". It matches the Rfam family "Bacterial small subunit ribosomal RNA", at positions 339 to 795 of the family's 1533-position model. The record is from RNAcentral.